UUCCGUGCCAGCAGCCGCGGUAAUACGGGAGAUGCGAGCGUUAUCCGGAAUCACUGGGCGUAAAGCGUCUGUAGGUGGUUUGUUAAGUCUGUUGUUAAAAACUGAAGCUCAACUUCAGAGGUGCGGCAGAAACUGGCAAACUUGAGUAUGGUAGGGGUAGGAGGAAUUUCUAGUGUAGCGGUGAAAUGCGUAGAUAUUAGGAAGAACACCAUUAGCGAAGGCGUCCUACUGGGCCAUAACUGACACUGAGAGACGAAAGCUAGGGGAGCAAACGGGAUUAGAUACCCCGGUAGUCCUAGCCGUAAACGAUGGAUACUAGAUGUCGCGGGUUUACCUGCGGUGUCGUAGCUAACGCGUUAAGUAUCCCGCCUGGGAAGUACGCACGCAAGUGUGAAACUCAAAGGAAUUGACGGGGGCCCGCACAAGCGGUGGAGCAUGUGGUUUAAUUCGAUGCAACGCGAAGAACCUUACCAGGAUUUGACAUACUAAGAACUUCUUUUAAUCGAGAAGGUGCCUUCGGGAGCUUAGAUACAGGUGGUGCAUGGCUGUCGUCAGCUCGUGUCGUGAGAUGUUGGGUUAAGUCCCGCAACGAGCGCAACCCUUGUCUUUAUUUGCCAUUCUUAAGUGGGGGACUAUAAAGAGACUGCCCGUGAAAAGCGGGAGGAAGGUGAGGAUGACGUCAAGUCAGCAUGCCCCUUAUAUCCUGGGCUACACACGUGUUACAAUGGUUAAGACAAUGAGAAGCAAGCUUGCGAAAGUUAGCAAAUCUCUGAAACUUAACCCAAGUUCGGAUUGCA
RNAcentral lists this ribosomal RNA (797 nucleotides) under Pavlova sp. RCC2541. Its description in RNAcentral is "bacterial SSU rRNA". It matches the Rfam family "Bacterial small subunit ribosomal RNA", at positions 501 to 1302 of the family's 1533-position model. The record is from RNAcentral. Lineage: Eukaryota; Haptophyta; Pavlovophyceae; Pavlovales; Pavlovaceae.